UGAGUAACUUGCAAGGACCAUCUAGGCUCACUCCUAGUAACAAGAAGAAAUCACAGUUUGGUCCUCUACAAUUUGCCCCCUUUUCCGAAUGGUAAUUUAUUCAUUUAGUUUCCAUAAAUAUGUCCCAUAUGUUACUAAGUACUGUAGGUUAUCUUAUCAAAAUUACUUUUACCAUUUAUUCAAGCAUGGUAUUAGUAUCAGAUUAAGGAAAAUAUUUAAUAUUUCUCGAGUGCAACAAAGUUAAUUAUCAAAAUAAUCCGUAAAUUACAUUAUUAUUGGACAUAUUUAUUUAAUUUUCAGUCACAUCUAGGUGACCAAUACUUGAUGCACAACAAGACGGGGCAGGAGAGUGGCGGGGAAGAGGCUUGCAUUUAAGUUUAAAUCUCUCUUGAUAAAGUGUGCCACAUACAUAAGCUAAAGAUUGAUUUUUUUUUCUCCUAAUCUGAUCUUGUUGCUUACCCAUGAAGCAUUUUAUUCCUAUCUUAAUUAAAAAAAUCUGAACUAGCAAUGGCUAAAAAACUCUGUGCUGAGGCUUGGCAAUCUGUGCUUAAUGCACAUGUAAAACCCCUCACAACACAUAAAAUCUUGUUUAACUAAAUAGAUACAAUAAUAUAAGAAGAUUGAACAAUAAUCAAUACCUCCGAUGGAAAGAGUCACCAGGAAGAGCUUUUGAUCCUGUAGAGUUCAACCUCCACUUCAACACCAUCCCAGCUUAAAACUUGACAUGAUCAACAUUUUUCUUCCUCCCUGGAGCGGAAGGUAAUGUAAUUUUGCCAUAAAUCACCUGGUACUUGAUUUUGUGAUUGAAAUCUCAACUGCUAAUUUAGCAAAUUCUUUAAUUUCCACAAAAAGAGGAUGAUAUUCAUUUUUCAUGUUCGUCAAACUAUUCAUAUCAUCAUCCUCAAUUCCUCCUCCUCCGACUCCAUUGAGAUUAGUGAUUCUUCUUUCUUCUCCUCAUCAUCAAUUGUAGUAUAAGAGAAUCUUUAUUCUUCU
This 993-nucleotide long non-coding RNA is filed under the name Panax ginseng (ginseng). RNAcentral describes it as "long non-coding RNA (PGIN_LNC004995)". Lineage: Eukaryota; Viridiplantae; Streptophyta; Magnoliopsida; Apiales; Araliaceae. The record is from RNAcentral.